RNAcentral lists this ribosomal RNA (477 nucleotides) under uncultured organism. RNAcentral describes it as "partial 16S ribosomal RNA". It matches the Rfam family "Bacterial small subunit ribosomal RNA", at positions 333 to 801 of the family's 1533-position model. The record is from RNAcentral.
ACACUCCUACGGGAGGCAGCAGUGGGGAAUUUUGGACAAUGGGGGCAACCCUGAUCCAGCAAUGCCGCGUGAGUGAAGAAGGCCUUCGGGUUGUAAAGCUCUUUUGUCAGGGAAGAAACGGUGGUGGCGAAUAACUACUACUAAUGACGGUACCUGAAGAAUAAGCACCGGCUAACUACGUGCCAGCAGCCGCGGUAAUACGUAGGGUGCAAGCGUUAAUCGGAAUUACUGGGCGUAAAGCGUGCGCAGGCGGUUGUGUAAGUCAGAUGUGAAAUCCCCGGGCUCAACCUGGGAAUUGCAUUUGAGACUGCACGGCUAGAGUGCGUCAGAGGGGGGUAGAAUUCCACGUGUAGCAGUGAAAUGCGUAGAUAUGUGGAGGAAUACCGAUGGCGAAGGCAGCCCCCUGGGAUAACACUGACGCUCAUGCACGAAAGCGUGGGGAGCAAACAGGAUUAGAUACCCGAGUAGUCCCAUGAU